This 84-nucleotide non-coding RNA is filed under the name Kluyvera ascorbata. The record is from RNAcentral. Lineage: Bacteria; Pseudomonadati; Pseudomonadota; Gammaproteobacteria; Enterobacterales; Enterobacteriaceae.
UCAAUGGUGGGCCAGCGGGGGCGUCGAAAGAUGCGCCGGUGUCGAUGAGGCCGGUAGUUCCAACCCCGUCUGGUUCCGCCACCA